This 253-nucleotide ribosomal RNA is filed under the name uncultured bacterium. RNAcentral's name for it is "partial 16S ribosomal RNA". It matches the Rfam family "Bacterial small subunit ribosomal RNA", at positions 524 to 776 of the family's 1533-position model. The record is from RNAcentral.
UACGAAGGGGGCUAGCGUUGUUCGGAAUUACUGGGCGUAAAGCGCACGUAGGCGGAUUGGUCAGUUGGGGGUGAAAUCCCAGGGCUCAACCCUGGAACUGCCUUCAAUACUGCCAGUCUAGAGAUCGAGAGAGGUGAGUGGAAUUCCGAGUGUAGAGGUGAAAUUCGCAGAUAUUCGGAGGAACACCAGUGGCGAAGGCGGCUCACUGGCUCGAUACUGACGCUGAGGUGCGAAAGCGUGGGGAGCAAACAGU